UUCACAAAUCAAAACAUUGAUACUUUUGAUACUUCAGUCAUUUGAGGUAAUGUACAUCAGGAGCACAGUGAAAAGAAGCUAAACUAUUGACAUCUUGUCCAAAUUAUACAUGAUCGGUUGGAACUACUUUUUCUUCCGCUUGGGUAAGUGUGUACUGCGUCACACUUCUCAUUCUGUCAAAAACAGAACAGACUA
Sphaeramia orbicularis (orbiculate cardinalfish) is the source of this 195-nucleotide long non-coding RNA. RefSeq lists it as uncharacterized. The record is from RefSeq and is a predicted model, not a curated record. NCBI's taxonomy places the organism in Eukaryota, Metazoa, Chordata, Actinopteri, Kurtiformes, Apogonidae. The transcript is spliced from 3 exons.